CUCACAGUAGAUUCAAACCCGGGUCUCUCACACGAAAAGCGUGUCUUAUCCACUGUGCCAUAACCACCCCAAAAAACCCCACAUAAUUAUGAGUAAGAAACAAGACUUCGAAUUGGAGCUGUGCUGAGAAAACAUGGCGGAUGCUAUAGAUAUGGAUGCAGAGUCUGUACUUUACAGUAAAUUUGUUUAAAUUAAUAACAUUUUUUUUAUUUACAAUAAGUUGCAUGUACAUAAUACAACCGUAUUGUACAUUUACAAUUUAAUAUAAAGAUUCUUUUUACAGCGCCUUCAUGAAUUGAAUAAAAUCACAAAAAAGCAAAAACACACCUGAUGUGCAAGACAUCAUUUUUGUAAUGUAGAAAAGGUACAUGAACAUGCUCUGAUCAGUGUAAAUACCUCCCAUAUUGUAAAUACGAACUUCCCAGAAGGGCUUGAAAGCACUUACCGAAGUGAAUUGGCUGCUGUUUUCACAAGCUCUGUUGGUGAAUGUCUUGAUGGUUUUAUUAUGCUGUUUCUAGCAUGUCCUGAUCAUGGCGAAGAUGAUUUUGGCCUUCAUGAUCCCUGAUGAACCGGAUUGGGUCCGAAUCAAGAGAGAACAAAUCGAGUUUCACUCGAUGCAAGCGCUUAAGAAACAGAGGAUCAAGAGCUCUCGUGUGGAUGAUAAACUCCCUCCGAAGGCCAAAAUGGGAGAGUGACAAAGGACUAUUUCCAUGGAGACAAUCACAAAAGAGGAGGUGCUUGGCCAUGCAGUCACAUCACUUAGCUACUGUAUACUUAGCUUGCUAAUGUACCAUAUGGCACAGUUUACCAAAGAUAACUUCUACAGUUUACAGGGUUUAUAGUUAAAAAUUGUUUGCAUCAGUGGUACCUUUUUGAUAACAGAUGAUUAAGGUCAAGAUGAAAAAAUGAUGAUAGUGGGUUAACAACAUAGACCCAUUAUGUGCUGUAUUAAUGAAUUUAAAAUAAUAGUUCACCUCAAUCACUAUGGUAUAGUAUUUUCCCGGUUGCUGUUCUUUUUGUAUAUUUGCUUUCUCAUUUUUUUUGUAAAUAUAUUGACAAUUUUAACUGUUGUAUUUUAAAUGUCAUCAAAAAGGAUCGUGCUCUUACAACCGGUAUAAAUAACCACGCAAUGCUUGCUUCACUGAAUGUCAUAUGAAUGUAUAUUGAUGUAAAUGGCCUUGAAGAAAACUAAAAAUAAAUAUUCAAAUGGUUUUAAACUGAGAAAGCCA
Non-coding RNA from Pimephales promelas (fathead minnow), 1229 nucleotides. Lineage: Eukaryota; Metazoa; Chordata; Actinopteri; Cypriniformes; Leuciscidae. The record is from RefSeq and is a predicted model, not a curated record.